RNAcentral lists this ribosomal RNA (236 nucleotides) under uncultured bacterium. Its description in RNAcentral is "partial small subunit ribosomal RNA". It matches the Rfam family "Bacterial small subunit ribosomal RNA", at positions 26 to 288 of the family's 1533-position model. The record is from RNAcentral.
AGAGCGAACGCUGGCGGCAGGCCUAACACAUGCAAGUCGAGCGCCCGUAGCAAUACGGGAGCGGCAGACGGGAUAGUAACACGUGGGAACGCGCCCUUCGGUUCGGAAUAACUCAGGGAAACUUGAGCUAAUACCGGAUACGCCCUUACGGGGAAAGAUUUAUUGCCGAAGGAACGGCCCGCGUCCGAUUAGCUAGUUGGUGAGGUAAUGGCUCACCAAGGCGACGAUCGGUAUCC